ACUAUGCUUGGCCCUAAACCUCAGUAGUUAGAUAACAAAACUACUCGCCAGAAUACUACAAGCAACAGCUUGAAACUCAAAGGACUUGACGGUGCUUUACAUCCCCCUAGAGGAGCCUGUUCUAUAAUCGAUAAACCCCGAUCCACCCCACCCUCUCUUGCUCAGCCUAUAUACCGCCAUCUUCAGCAAACCCUAAUGAAGGUCACAAAGUGAGCGCAAGCGCCGCCACCGCCGCGAAUACGUUAGGUCAAGGUGUAGCCUAUGAGACGGUAAAAAAUGGGCUACAUUUUCUAUCUCAGAAAAUUCCACGAAAACCCUUAUGAAAUUUAGGGGUCCAAGGAGGAUUUAGCAGUAAAUUAAGAAUAGAGUGCUUAAUUGAACCAGGCCAUAAAGCGCGCACACACCGCCCGUCACUCCUCUCAAAUAUACUUAAGGAACAUCUUAACUAAACGCCCUAAUAUUUAUAUAGAGAGGAUAAGUCGUAACAUGGUAAGCGUACUGGAAGGUGCGCUUGGAUAAAU
This 521-nucleotide ribosomal RNA is filed under the name Macaca arctoides (stump-tailed macaque). RNAcentral describes it as "partial 12S ribosomal RNA". It matches the Rfam family "Bacterial small subunit ribosomal RNA", at positions 789 to 1533 of the family's 1533-position model. The record is from RNAcentral. Lineage: Eukaryota; Metazoa; Chordata; Mammalia; Primates; Cercopithecidae.